Molecule: ribosomal RNA, 468 nt
Filed under: uncultured bacterium
Lineage: Bacteria
Description: partial 16S ribosomal RNA
Rfam family: Bacterial small subunit ribosomal RNA
Source: RNAcentral
GACGAACGCUGGCGGCGUGCUUAACACAUGCAAGUCGAACGGAAAGGCCCUGCGUUUGUGGGGUGCUCGAGAGGCGAACGGGUGAGUAACACGCGUGUAACCUGCCCUUGACUUUGGGAUAACACCAGGAAACUGCGGCUAAAACCGGAUAGGAUCUUCUGCUGCAUGGGGGGGGAUGGAAAGAGUCGGCGGUUGGGGCUGGACUCGCGGGUUAUGAGCUUGUUUGGCGGGUAGGGGCGUACGAAGCCUUCGACGGGUAGCCCGCCUGAGAGGGUGACCGGGCACAUUGGGACUGAGAUACGGCCCAGACUCCUACGGGAGGCAGCAGUCGGGAGUAUUGCGCAAUGGGCGCAAGUCUGAGGCAGCGGCGCCGCGUGCGGGAUGACGGCUUUCGGGUUGUAAACCGCUUUCGCAUGUGACGAAGCGUUAGUGACGGUAAUGGGUCAAGAAGCACCGGCUAACUACGUG